UACGUAGGGGGCAAGCGUUGUCCGGAAUCAUUGGGCGUAAAGAGCGCGUAGGCGGUCCGGUAAGUCCGCUGUGAAAGUCAAGGGCUCAACCCUUGAAUGCCGGUGGAUACUGUCGGGCUAGAGUCCGGAAGAGGCGAGUGGAAUUCCUGGUGUAGCGGUGAAAUGCGCAGAUAUCAGGAGGAACACCGAUGGCGAAGGCAGCUCGCUGGGACGGUACUGACGCUGAGGAACGAAAGCGUGGGGAGCGAACAGG
This 253-nucleotide ribosomal RNA is filed under the name uncultured bacterium. RNAcentral's name for it is "partial 16S ribosomal RNA". It matches the Rfam family "Bacterial small subunit ribosomal RNA", at positions 524 to 776 of the family's 1533-position model. The record is from RNAcentral.